CGGAAACAUUUCGGUCGGAAAGUUUUCAGUCUGGGACGCUAGAGAGCGACGGAGACCGGAAAAUCACACAAAACACUGCCAGCAUCAGAUAUGGAGCAACAUCUGGCCUCACCUGGAGCAGUGGAAGCAAAAAUACAUCCAGAGUGAAGUUUCUGACUACUUGAUGGAGUCAGAGUGCCAGCAGAGAAGGCGAGUUCAGAGAAUCGGACGACUGCUCGCUACUGCUGUUCCGCUGGUUGGCACUGACCCCGCAGGCUCCCUCUGGGCUGAGGCUGCUGCUGGACUUGCUGCUGCUGUUGAACCGGAGGCUGGGACUGUGUGGAGGCCGGAUGGGCUGUGUAGGCAGGAGGAAGAUAGAAAGAGUCUUCCUUCACAGUCAAGCCCACAAUGGAGACAGGCGGUUGUAAGGCCUGGGGAGGCAGCUGAGACUGCACUGGAGGCAGCUGUGCUGAGCCCUGCUGAGGCUGGUCCUGGUACGGGAUCUUACAGUUUGCCUGUAGGUCUGUCUCCUGUGGGUUGGUACAGAGGAUGAAAAAAAAUGGGGAAGAAGGAGACGGGAACAAGGCAAAGACUCUUCUCGUGUACGGCGAGUUCGGGCUCUGGACUGACGGACAGGGCCGGCUGCUGGCCCUGGAGUGUCUGAACUCGGUGGGGUGAAUCCAGACCCCGAAGAAUAACUCGG
Long non-coding RNA from Oreochromis aureus, 682 nucleotides. RefSeq lists it as uncharacterized. The record is from RefSeq and is a predicted model, not a curated record. NCBI's taxonomy places the organism in Eukaryota, Metazoa, Chordata, Actinopteri, Cichliformes, Cichlidae. The transcript has 6 exons.